AAAAGGUCAGCUUCUGAGGAGACGGACUUGAAGGUGCUCACGGAGACCAGCUGUGAGUUGUCACGUCCACCCUCGACCAGCAAGGAAAAACGCAACACCCGGAACUCUUCUUGCAGUAGUUUUCAGGACUUUAUUCACAGCAAUAUAUCCCCUUCUCCUUCUCCUCCUUCUCCUUCUUCUCUUUCUCUCUUUCUCUCUCUUCUCUCCUUCCUCUCUCUCCUCUCUCUGGGCAAAUCUCUCUGCCCUUAAGUAGGCAUGGGCUGCCAAUCCCGAACUGCCAGGUGGGCACCGUCCAUAGGUUCACGCAUAUGCAGGCAGCUGAUGAUCAUUGUGUGAUCAGGCAUAGGUCAGACUUUAGCCAUAGGAGUUGAUUAUACAUCUCCAUCAGGUGUGUCACCACGCAGCUUGCCACAGUGAGUUGCAGCCCGGGGCUUCCAGACGCACUUAGCGGUUGUGAAAGUUGCCUGCACCUUCAGCCUCUGGCCAUGCAGCUGCCCCUCACUGAUCCCAUGCACUCUUCACUGCUAAUGCAACACACUUCUCUUUUCUUCUUUUUCUCUAAAUUGCCGGCACGUUUUUCAUGGUUAGAGUCACUGUGUGUGUCAUCCUCCCCUCAUUCCCAACGUCGUCACUGUGAGCUCUAUACUUUCAGGAAGUUCUAACUUGUCUCAUGCAUCUUCUUGCAAAGUGUAGCCCACACAGUACAGUUGACAGUGUGAACGCUGUGUGUCAUCCCUGUCUGUGCACCGAAGAAAUUAAAACAUGUCUAAACCCCCUACAUUUGGGUAAAUUCCUGAAGAGCUCGUUUCUGAGAGCAACUCCAUGUGUCGGUAGCCCACCACUGCUGGAAGGCUUGAGCUGCCUGUUUGCCACACUCUUUGGGACAUCUGCUUUCUGCUCUGGUUCUUCAUGAGUUCAGUUUGUCUGUCAGAGCCAUUGUGUCUGCGCUGCUAUCUUAGUGAACAGGUAUGUUCAUGCGUUCGGGGGUGUGUAUGCUCUUAUUAUCUGUUACUGCAGAAAGUGGCCUAUGAAUGUUCUAGAGCACUUUAUAAAUUCCUCAUCAGAUUCUGACAAGUAAGUACAUUUUUAAUCAAAAACUUAGAAUGCUUGUGUGUUAACCUCUUGUGAUUUCAGACCUCUGGGAUCUUUCAGGAUUUCCACAGUUGGCAUUCAUUACAGUGCUGAGGAGUAGGUCUCUCUGUAUUAUGGUCCAAACUCUAUGCCAGGAAAGUCUUGAAGUGUUGACGUUUGUUCAGUAGGCUGGGAAACUGAGACUCAAAGCGAGAGACUUUCUAAGUCUUCUCCAGAUAUACAAUGAAGAUGGAUUCAGUAAUGACCUAUUUAUUGACUACAGCUUUCACGAUAUGUCUUUUGGGUGAUGUGCAUGUAAUAGGUCUCAGCAAUUUUGUCCCUUUAGAGAAAUCAUUUAACAGAUGCCCCUCUGGUCCCUGUCCCAUAUCAGGAGCUACAGCUACAGCCUCGGCUCCAAGGCACCUCUAGGCCUUCAUGGAAAGAGCAAAGCAGAUGAUGCCUGUUAGUAUGUAGUGAAGGUUGAUAUCAGCCGUCUAGUGUCUGGGCAUCCCUUGGAGAAAGCGCUUACUGCUCUUCAUCUUUGGACCAUCAGCAGGGAUUGUGGCUCAGUGCAAGCAGCUGACACAUGCUGAGAGGCAGCAGGAGGGCCAGAGCUGGAGCUGACUCUUCUAUAGUGGGGAGGAGAGGGCGAGAAAGAACUAUGGAAGUCUGAAUCCACACUUGCGGCUAGACAAGUAGACCUGCCCUUCUUCUGCCAGGCUCCAGGGUUCCAAGAGUCAGGCUCAAGACCUGGGUAAAAUGUGAUGAUAAUAAUAGCCUCUAUCUCUCAGAAGAGAAUUUCCUCUGUGAGAAAGUCAGCUGGGACCUGUAGUUAGAGGAUGGACAUCCUAAGAACAAGAGCCUCUCUCUGCUUUGUUCAAAUGUCCAAUACAUAAUUUCGCUAGUCAUGUUGGAUAGACUUCAAAGGGGGGAGGGUUGCAUGAGCCGUGCUGGAAGCCCUGGCAAUGGUGUCCUCCAGGUCUGGGUCUCUUGUGGGUGAGAGCUUCGUUUGCUCCACUCUUUCCUCACUGCCUGGCUGGACCAGGGUCCUUUCUGAACGCUCUACUCUAGUAGACAAAGUCUCCUUACCUUUUCCAAGGAGGUCAUCUGUGUGGCCUAACUCCCAGAACUCUUCUCCCAUGUUCAGUACCCACAACAUCAUGUGUCUGUGACUUUAUUUCUUCAUUUUCCUUCUUUAGCCAUAGCCAGGAGAGAGUUCUCGAUUUUUAGUAUUGCAGAGAUGGAUUGGGUCAGCUUACUUAAUCCAGGUGAUUUCUGUCUUGCAUGUUGUUGGUACCCUAGGCAAAAUUUUAAAAGUUUCUUUGCCAUGUAAGAUGGC
Long non-coding RNA from Alexandromys fortis (reed vole), 2410 nucleotides. RefSeq lists it as uncharacterized. The transcript has 3 exons. The record is from RefSeq and is a predicted model, not a curated record. Lineage: Eukaryota; Metazoa; Chordata; Mammalia; Rodentia; Cricetidae.